AGAGUUUGAUCCUGGCUCAGAUUGAACGCUGGCGGUAUGCUUAACACAUGCAAGUCGAACGGUAGCAGGCCUUCGGGCGCUGACGAGUGGCGGACGGGUGAGUAACGCGUAGGAAUCUGCCUGUUAGUGGGGGACAACGUGGGGAAACUCACGCUAAUACCGCAUACGCCCUACGGGGGAAAGCGGGGGACCUUCGGGCCUCGCGCUAACAGAUGAGCCUGCGUUAGAUUAGCUAGUUGGUGGGGUAAAGGCCUACCAAGGCGACGAUCUAUAGCUGGUCUGAGAGGACGAUCAGCCACAUUGGGACUGAGACACGGCCCAAACUCCUACGGGAGGCAGCAGUGGGGAAUAUUGCACAAUGGAGGAAACUCUGAUGCAGCGACGCCGCGUGAAGGAAGAAGGUUUUCGGAUCGUAAACUUCUAUCAGCAGGGACGAUAAUGACGGUACCUGACUAAGAAGCCCCGGCUAACUACGUGCCAGCAGCCGCGGUAAUACGUAGGGGGCAAGCGUUAUCCGGAAUUACUGGGUGUAAAGGGUGCGUAGGCGGUAAUGUAAGUCAGGUGUGAAAGCCCGAAGCUCAACUUCGGGAUUGCACUUGAAACUACAUAACUAGAGUACAGGAGAGGUGAGUGGAAUUCCUAGUGUAGCGGUGAAAUGCGUAGAUAUUAGGAGGAACACCAGUGGCGAAGGCGACUCACUGGACUGUAACUGACGCUGAGGCACGAAAGCGUGGGGAGCGAACAGGAUUAGAUACCCUGGUAGUCCACGCUGUAAACGAUGAAUGCUAGGUGUCGGCUCGU
RNAcentral lists this ribosomal RNA (801 nucleotides) under uncultured bacterium. RNAcentral's name for it is "bacterial SSU rRNA". It matches the Rfam family "Bacterial small subunit ribosomal RNA", at positions 8 to 831 of the family's 1533-position model. The record is from RNAcentral.